Long non-coding RNA from Astatotilapia calliptera (eastern happy), 3123 nucleotides. The record is from Ensembl. Lineage: Eukaryota; Metazoa; Chordata; Actinopteri; Cichliformes; Cichlidae.
GCAGAGAGUUCGGUCGGAGCUGCAGGUGGGAAGAGUCAGCAGAGUUUUACUCACCGUGUGGAUUUUCAUUCCUCUAAUGCUGUUAGAGGUGUGCGUCCAUGAGACUGCUACAGAUUUUGCUGGCAUGCCACACCAAACUAGUUGAGCCAUCACUCACUUCCAAACAGACUUUGAAUGAAGACCUUGUGACUUCAUCAGAAGUCAAUUUAUGUCAGACCUGACAAGGUGAUUUUAUGUGAGGACAAUGAAUUAGAGAUGGCACGAUACCACUUUUUUAUGUCCGAUACCGAUACCGAUAUCAUAAAUUUGGAUAUCUGCCGAUACCGAUAUGAAUCCGAUAUAGUGUUUUUUAAUCAACAAAACUGUUUUUUAAAAUAUCUUGCUGCAUUUUGCAAGUCUGCAAGUUCAUACUCAAGUUUAAAACAACAACUACACUAAAGCUAUUCUGUUAUACCUGUAUACAAAAAAAAUAUUUCAUAGUUCAGCAAUACUGAUCAAUCUAAUAAACUUAGACCUACACCAUCCUCCCUAUUCUGGUAUUUUAAAGAGUACUUAGCGUAAAUAUUAAGCAACCUAACUAAUAGGGUUCCAACUCCCAGCAACAACAAAAAUAAAUAAAUAAAAAAUAGGGAACCACCCCUCACGCGCCACCUCAUGAUGCUUAAUCGACGUAAUCAACCUUAAUUUGAUGCAGUGUGAAAAAAAAUGCACAGAAAUCAAUUCUUUUUCAAGAAAUAUUAAAUAGAUUCAACAUCUUUCUUCAACAAAAUUGCAGACUGCACAGAUGGUACCUUCCCAAAGGAAAAAGUACUAUAGCUUACUAGGGUAUAUAUAUUAGACUUAAUAGUCACUAUGUACAGUAAUUGACUUCUAUUCAUUUUACAUCAAAUUAAAACUUUGGGUGUCAGAUAAUUAUUUAUUAAAAGCUAGACAUUUUAAAUGAGAAUAAGAAAGAAAAGUAUGUCUUUGUGCCCCCUUUUCCCAGUUAAUGCCCUAUCGGCCCCCCUGGCUAAACUUUGCUAGAUCCGCCCCUGCACAGUUACCAGCCAUCAGCUACGUAGAAAAAGAUCCUCGAGUAGAAAGUAAUAUUAAAUAAAUUCUAACAACAGCUUAUCAAGCUUAAACGUGCUGCUGUUGUUCAGCCGCUGGUUUCCUCUUUCUGGUGCAAAGUGGGCCAAAAACAAACCAGAGAGACGGACUCGCGACAGAAAAGCCGAUCAGCUGAUCAUUUAAGCAGUUUCACGAUUGAAGUAGCAGCCGGAGAGCGAGAGGCAGUCGCUUGUUAAGCUUAACGUGGGAAUGCUUUACAAACAUUCAGAGAUGGACUUACACACUUGCUUUACUUCUCUCGGGGAUAACUUUGUCGGAGAUGAAAUGCCAGGUUGCUAGCGAAGCUCCACAUGCUAUCCAGACCACCGACAGGUCCCGCAUGCCACAGCUGCUCUAUCACGUGAUGCAUACGUUCUGAGGUGAGUUAAGGCGUGUUGCAAGUUUUGUGAGGUGCUUUCGUGAUAUUUAAUGGAUCGGAUUACAUUUUUUAUUUUUCUCCGAUAUCCGAUCCAGUAAUUUAGGUCAGUAUCGGACCGAUACCGAUACGUAAUAUCGGAUCGGUCCAUCUCUACAAUGAAUCAGUAAGUAAUCCUGAGCAUUUCAGCAAAUGUAUGCAUGUUCAUAAAAUGAGAGUGAAAAAGGCAAAGAUGGAUUUUAAACUCCCUUAAACAUUGUCACUUGUAUUAUGUUUUAAUACAUAAUACAUAAACAUAUUACUAAUAUUUACUAUGCCAUUUUCUUGUCAGUAUAAUGAAAUGUAUUAUCUGUUUUAAUUUACAGGCUUAUUCUGAUGGAGAGAGUAGCCAUACAAGCAGGCAGGAUUUCACAGAAACGUUGAAUUCUGACAAAUGUGGUGAAAUUUCUAAAGACGUUACCUCAGCCAUUCCCAUUGUUAACACACAGUCCAUGUCUGUUGAUGAUGAGGUCAUCUGUUGCGUUGCUACUGCCACUGUCAGUGACAACACACCUGGCGUAUCAGUGGGUUCUUCUGCCAGUGUUACUGGUGACACACGUGUCUUCUCUAGUAACACCUCCAGUGUGUCCAAUGGACCUACCCAGCCAAGUUUAUCCAGCACAUCCUACAGUACAUAUCUUGGCCUGUUUGAGGAAGAAUACCUGUCAAAUGACCCCGACCUCCAAGAAGCCAUUUCAAGGUCUUUAGACGUGCAAGUAAAAGAAAAGGAGUCACCUACUAUCUAGUUUUGGAUCAGUUUGAAUAAGCAAACUACAAACUGCAACCUACGAUUUCUGUUGUCGUUUGAAGAUUACCAAGGCUAUCAGAUUAAUUAUAUUUUACUUGAUAUAUGUUUUGGUUUAUUUUUAGUGGCUUUAGUGAAAUGUUAGAUACAAAGGUUUGAAUCUGUAAAAAGAAUAAAGAAAAGAAUAUCUGGUCAUUAAACUUCUGUGCUAAUACUCUUAUUUUAUAACUCUGACCACCUGCAGCCUCUAUGAUAGUCAUUACUAUGCUGUCAUAGUUUUGAUUUCGGGCUGCUGUAGCAUUGUCCUCUCUUAUUUGCAACCCUGUCCUUAUUUUAACUCCAUCUGGUUUUUGGCUUUGACUGAUUGGAGAUAAUGAAUUGUAUUAUUUUUGCACCACACGUUGGCUAGCUUGACAUCAUAAGUGAUGUGAUAACACAACUGCAAGCAGUGUCAUCAUGCUGGUAGAAACUUGCCUUUUUUUAAAAUUAUGUAGCAGUUAUUUAUAUACUUAGCAAACACAUGUCCACACAACAAAGGUAUUUUCCCUAUUUACAUUUCCAUGCUGUGAAUAAAUAGUAUAGAGUAUUUUGUUGUUUAUGUAUAUUUGUUGUUUAUGUAUAAUUAAGCAUUUUCUGCUCUGGGAGGUUAAAAAAUUGAAGCUUGAUGAGCUGUUCACAAAAAAUGGAAUGACCAGUGUUGUGGCUAUUGUGCUUUUUUCAUAAAAUAUAAUAAAAAAAAAACCCUGCUGCUGUGGAGUUGGGGCGGUCUGCUUCUUUCCACCCCAGGGAAGAGGGUAACACUACCUGGGUCUGGGUGCAGUUUUCCCCUCCAGGGGCAAGGGUACCUACACCUGGAGUAUAGAGUACGCUUGGG